Molecule: long non-coding RNA, 389 nt
Filed under: Chinchilla lanigera (long-tailed chinchilla)
Lineage: Eukaryota; Metazoa; Chordata; Mammalia; Rodentia; Chinchillidae
Description: lncRNA (ENSCLAG00000029009.1)
Source: RNAcentral
CCGAGAUUGCGGGGCGGCGCGUGCGCAGAGGCGCCUGGGCGGGUCGCGGGUCGUUCUGCGCUUGCGCGCGUCUCGGGCCGAGGGCCGCCGGGUGGGUGAGGGUGUGCACCGGUCCUCGGCUGGGCGAGCGAGAGCGGCGCUGGGAGGCCCCGGCCCCGCGGACCGGAGGCUGGAGAGACAAGGCACUGUUGCGUAGUGUCGGUCUCGGAACCGGUCCUCAGACUCAUGACUCAGACUGACCCUCUGGUGGGAAGCGGGCGCUGGUCUCCAGGCUUGCCCCGUAAGACACCGCGUUUGCCGAGGUUGUUUGCUCGGUGUCGCGGGGCGCGCGGAGGGCGCCGGGUCUGGCAGCUGCUCAGCCCGAGAGGAUGGAAGCUGGAGAACACGGG